GUGCUCGCUUCAGCAGCGCAUGUACUAAAAACUGAAACGACACAAAGACUAGCACUGGCCCCUGUGCAAGGAUGACACGUCUUUCAAAAAAAUAACAAUUAA
Molecule: small nuclear RNA, 102 nt
Filed under: Prolemur simus (greater bamboo lemur)
Lineage: Eukaryota; Metazoa; Chordata; Mammalia; Primates; Lemuridae
Source: RNAcentral